ACAUGGCGUAMSUGCUCAGUAACACRUGGAUWAACCUGCCCUUGGGUCCGGCAUACCCCGGGAAAACUGGGGAUAAUUCCGGAUAACGCACAUAUGCUGGAAUGCUUUAUGCGUCAAAUGGAUUCGUCUGCCCAAGGAUGGGUCUGCGGCCUAUCAGGUAGUAGUGGGKGUAAUGUACCUACUAGCCGACAACGGGUACGGGUUGUGAGAGCAAGAGCCCGGAGAUGGAUUCUGAGACAUGAAUCCAGGCCCUACGGGGCGCAGCAGGCGCGAAAACUUUACAAUGCGGGAAACCGUGAUAAGGGGACACCGAGUGUCAGCAUCAUAUGCUGGCUGUCCAGGUGUGUAAAAUACACCUGUUAGCAAGGGCCGGGCAACACCGGUGCCAGCCGCCGCGGUAACACCGGCGGCCCGAGUGGUGAUCGUGAUUAUUGGGUCUAAAGGGUCCGUAGCCGGUUUGGUCAGUCCUCCGGGAAAUCUGAUAGCUCAACUAUUAGGCUAUCGGGGGAUACUGCCAGGCUUGGAACCGGGAGAGGUAAGAGGUACUACAGGGGUAGGAGUGAAAUCUUGUAAUCCCUGUGGGACCACCUGUGGCGAAGGCGUCUUACCAGAACGGGUUCGACGGUGAGGGACGAAAGCUGGGGGCACGAACCGGAUUAGAUACCAGGGUAGUCCCAGCCGUAAACGAUGCUCGCUAGGUGUCAGGCAUGGCGCGACCGUGUCUGGUGCCGCAGGGAAGCCGUGAAGCGAGCCACCUGGGAAGUACGGCCGCAAGGCUGAAACUUAAAGGAAUUGGCGGGGGAGCAC
RNAcentral lists this ribosomal RNA (807 nucleotides) under uncultured Methanosarcina sp. Its description in RNAcentral is "bacterial SSU rRNA". It matches the Rfam family "Archaeal small subunit ribosomal RNA", at positions 76 to 879 of the family's 1478-position model. The record is from RNAcentral. Lineage: Archaea; Methanobacteriati; Methanobacteriota; Methanomicrobia; Methanosarcinales; Methanosarcinaceae.